ACACGUAGGAGACAAGCGUUAUUCGGAUUUACUGGGCGUAAAGCGCGUGCAGGCGGUCUGACAAGUUGGAUGUGAAAGCUCCUGGCUUAACUGGGAGAGGUCGUUACAAAACUAUCAGACUAGAGAGUGGUAGAGGAAGGCGGAAUUCCGGGUGUAGUGGUAGAAAUGCGUAGAUAUCCGGAGGAACACCAGUGGCGAAAGCGGCCUUCUGGACCAAUUCUGACGCUCAGACGCGAAAGCUAGGGUAGC
Molecule: ribosomal RNA, 249 nt
Filed under: uncultured bacterium
Lineage: Bacteria
Description: partial 16S ribosomal RNA
Rfam family: Bacterial small subunit ribosomal RNA
Source: RNAcentral